UACGAAGGGUGCAACCGUUGCUCGGAAUCAUUGGGCGUAAAGCGCACGUAGGCGGCCUCAUAAGUCGGAUGUGAAAUCCCUCGGCUCAACCGAGGACGUGCAUCCGAAACUGUGAAGCUCGAGUAUGGAAGAGGGUCGCGGAAUUCCCGGUGUAGAGGUGAAAUUCGUAGAUAUCGGGAGGAACACCAGUGGCGAAGGCGGCGACCUGGGCCAAUACUGACGCUGAGGUGCGAAAGCGUGGGGAGCAAACAGG
This 253-nucleotide ribosomal RNA is filed under the name uncultured bacterium. RNAcentral describes it as "partial 16S ribosomal RNA". It matches the Rfam family "Bacterial small subunit ribosomal RNA", at positions 524 to 776 of the family's 1533-position model. The record is from RNAcentral.